GGGAGAGACAUAGGUCAGUGGUACAACAUGCGCCCAGCAUGCAGAAGGUCCCAGGUUCAAUCCCUGGCCUCAUUCCCA
This is a non-coding RNA of Podarcis lilfordi (Lilford's wall lizard), 78 nucleotides long. NCBI's taxonomy places the organism in Eukaryota, Metazoa, Chordata, Lepidosauria, Squamata, Lacertidae. The record is from the annotation of a GenBank genome assembly.